AAGAAAAACAUGUAUUUAAUCAAUUUUACAAUAAGGCUGUAACGUACAAAAUGUGGAAAAAGUAAAGUGGUCUGAAUAGUUUCUGAAUGCACUGUAUUUACAGUUGCUAUGUUAUCAAACCUUAUCUAACCCUGGUGUCUAAACCUGGUGUCUUUCCCUGUGUUGUGUCCCUGUCAACGGUUUUGUCCAGUUGAAGAGCCUGUCCUUCCAGUCAGCUGUUAGACCCUCAGAACCAGACUACCUGUCCUCCACCACCAUCUCUUCUGGCAGCUUCGCCACUGACCCUGAACACACCUCCACCAAAAUAGGUUGUGUGUGUGUGUGUUUGGCUUGUUUACUCUUUUCUGCUCUUGGCUGGGUUUGGAAGAGGGAAAAAAUCAUUUGUAAUGGCUCCUCUUCGCGAAGACGCAGUUCCUGUAGGGACGUAUCUGGUCCUGGGUCUCCCAUCUCAGACUCACUCCUAAACAGCAGCAGUAUCCAGCGCAUCAUAGACAAAUAUACCAGGGAGCUCAACCUCUCUCUGUUCUGCUGGGAACCAGAUGGUGAUAGAGGGGUCAGUGUUUGAGGAGCCCAGCUUCUGUGUCCCAGCAACAGCAGAAGCAGAAGCCCUGGUCAAAGCAACUGCAGGAGAAUGAGGGACCAGACAGGUCACCUGUGUGGGGGGCCGACCCACACACUCUCCCCUUGGACACGGAGUCAGGAGCUCAGAGGCACGACCAAGUGGAUUCAUUCACACCCUCACACUCCAUUCAAUGGCAAUAUGGGUUCAAGAGUAAAUACCCAAAUUUUGUUGUUUUAGUAUCAACAUUAUAUAUAUAUAUAUAUAUAUAUUAGUCAAUGUCCAUUUCAGGAAUGGGACACUGUCAACCGAGGCAGGACUCCACUAUCAGUCCAAUGAUUGGCCAGCCCUUGGAUAAAUCAUCCUCACCGGGCCACAGGUGGGACUUGACUUAGCCGAAUGAUUGGCCAGCUCUCAGGUCAAUCAACCUCACUGGACCAAGGGUGGGAUUUGACUUUGAGCAGAAUGAUUGGCGGACUCUCCAAUCAGUCAACCUCUGUGAGCCAGCUGAUUGGUCAGAUUCGACUGGACCAGUCAUCCCAGUGGCUGGAUAAAGGCCAGGAUGAGAGCCAGAUGAUGGGGCCUCUGGUUGGAGAGCUGGAUGAGCCUGCUGCCCAAUGGAGUUGGAGCUCAGGAGCUGAUGGGUCUAACUCCCUAGGCUGGGUGGAUCUGAGAGGCUCAGGCCAGACAGGAGUGUCAUCUGACCAAGAGGGAGCCCCUGAAGCCCAUUCACAGAGCAGCUCCUUUCCCCCUGGACUAGAACCUCUGCCACACUACCAGUGCCUGCAGCGCUCUGGCACCAGUUCCCAGGAAGUAGACAGGACUGGGGUCACACACAACGAGACAGCUGAACCUCCAUGACCUUUCACCUUCCAGAAGAGGAAGUGGAGGGGGCCAUGUUCCCACGAAGAAGAAAGUGACCAUGAAGCACUUGCAGGGGACCUUGAACUCUCUGCAUGCUCAGAGGAGUUUGUGGAUGACACUUGGUCUGUCACCUCUGACCCCUCUCCUGAGUGCCUGAGAGGAGGGGAGGAACCACCUCAGCUCUCGCCUACCCUGCACGACUCCUUGUACCAGCUGACCACGUCCCAGUGCCUCCCUCAUAACUCUGCUCUGGAUGUAUCCCCAGGAGCAGAGGUGGGGGGGUAUGGCAGCAUGUUCCCUCUCAGGCUCCUCUCUCUGUGAAGAUGUCCCCACUUUGGACAAGCCACUUGAAGGCAGGGACACUGAUAUGGAGAGCACACCAGCACCUCAGACAGUUGACCAAGGAGGUGCUAUUAUUAAGGACCUGGGUGCAGGAGAGCCGGAUGCCCAGCUAUGUUCAGAGUCAAAGAUCAGGCCUCCCAUCUGGGAGAGAAUAAUGGUGGGCAGUGUGAAUGGGAUAAUGGACGAUUCCAUGCUGACCCUGGUGAGCCUGACAGACACCACAUUAAAGGACCACGGACUUGCUGAGGAAGGAGAGAUGGAUGAGGUAUCAGACCAAGAAGGCAUUGUGGAGAAGGAAUCCGAGUGGACAGUGUUGCCAGAGGAGGAUGCCAGCCUACAGGAGGAAGAGACAACCCCCUCUCAUGCAGGUGAGAACCAGAAGACCUGAAACUUCUGACUCUUCUCUCUUUCCUUCUGAGUCCUUUCUUGGUCUGAAGGUUGGGGAGGUGAGGAUCAGCACUCCUGAGAUGAGGAAACAGGAUGUGGCUGACAUGCGCCAGAGAACAGAGAGGUUGUACAGCUAACUAGAUGAGGUGAAGCUUCAGAAGGAGGUCAGGAGCAGACAGGAGGCAUAUGCCAAAGAGUUUCGCAAGAAAACCUUACAGAAGCUACGGGCCAAGCAGUCUCCACAAUGAUACUGAAUAUCAGUUUUAUCUGUUGUGUGUUCUGUUUGCACUUAUUUUGUACUUCCAUGUGUAUUUGUACAGUUUAAUCAGUAAUGUAAAAUAUAUUUUUAAAGUGUGUAUAUAAUCUUUAUUCAGUCUAUUCAUCACAACUUACUACUGUGUUCACACAACAAAAGCAGCCAGUGCACUAUUGCACCUUGAAUACUGCAGAUACACACAUUGCAUUAUGAGAAUGUUAUGUUGCCUGUAAAAAUAUUUUUGUUUUAGGUUUUUAUAGCCAAUAAAGUUGCUUGUUGAUGA
Molecule: long non-coding RNA, 2691 nt
Organism: Oncorhynchus tshawytscha (Chinook salmon)
Lineage: Eukaryota; Metazoa; Chordata; Actinopteri; Salmoniformes; Salmonidae
Exons: 9
Source: RefSeq, a predicted model, not a curated record